GUGAUUGCUGGUUUAAAACCAGCCAAAAAACCAUAGAAGAAUAAGAAGUGCUCUGCAUCUCCCCUGGUCUUAAAUUCCAUCCCAACUUGAGAACCCCCCACUUACCUUGGAUAUGUAUGCAUUUGCAAGCGGGGAGUCCUCCUCAAGAAUCAUCUGUGUGUAUGUCUCACAUGGUGCUCCUAUUAGAUCUGUGAGAGAUCACUGACACAAUCGACUGGAGCUCCAUCAGGACCCAACACUCCAAAUUUUGUACAUGUUUUUCAGUGUUUCCCACUGUUUUUUGUUAUUUAGUGGUAACAGCAUGGAGGGGGCCGACAGCCAGCAGUUUUGAGAACAUUUAGCCAGAGGCUUAGCAGGGGUUUCAAUGAUGCUGUCAAUGGGUUUCCAGAUGACGGUUGGUCACUGAUGAGCAGUGACGGUGCUGAGGUUGUUACUAUUGCUAUCAACUCUACUAGUGGUAAAUGUAUUGUUGAUUGUUUUUGCUCUGGUCGUUUUCAGCUUAGUCAGAGGAUGUUCAGAUCAUGCAGAUAUAGUUCUUGGAGGCGGAGGGCAGAGGGAAGUUCACGUGUAGCAUUUUUUUGUGUUUUUGCUUGUUCUGUUUCGAUCAAACAGUUGUGCUGUAAUUUUUGUAUGCUUAUUUAGGUGCUACUGGAUUGCCCUCUCAGGAUAUCUAUUGUGAAUAGAGGAUGGGUUCCUCGUGGAUGGCAUGAUAAAAAAGUUAAGGAUCUCCAGAUCCUGGAUGAAGCUUCAGAGUCCCCAGAAGUUGUUAAGCCAUACGAAAAAGGUUCGUGGUGGAAGUUUUGGUCUAACAAGCCUAAAUCGUCUCCUGAGUUUGAAAAACCUAGGAUGCCACCUGUAAGGGUUGUUGGAGUAAUCCGUGGAAGUGAGAAGCCAAGCAUAUUUGUUCCAGCUAAUGAGCCCAAUAGUGGCCAGUGGUUUUAUGUGGAUGUUCCCAUGAUUGCUCGUGCUUGUGGACUUCCUGAGAAUACUAUUUAUAUAGAAGAUAUAAAUGAAGAUGUAUCUCCAACAAACCCUUAUCCUGUUCCACAAGAUGUCAACACCUUGAUUCGUCACUCGGUGAUGCCAGAUGACCAUCUUAAAUACACUUUUACAUGAUCUGUGAGAGAUCACUGACACAAUCGACUAGAGGUCCAUCAAGACCCAACACUCCAAAUUUUGUAAGAGCUGAAGUGCUUCCUAGUGGCUAUCUAAUUCGACCCUGUGAGGGAGGUGGCUCCAUGAUUCACAUUGUGGAUCAUGUUGAUUUAAACCAUUGGAAACAUGAGAUGGGGGGAAAGCCAUGGGAGCUCUGACUUUUUGGUUGGGGUGAAGAGUGGGCAGAGAUGAUGUGUUGUUUAUUUCGAGCAUGGGAAUUUUUUUUCUUCUGCAAAAAUCCAGGGGGCCUCAACUUUUUUGAACAGAGAAGCAUCAAUCAAAAUGAGAUGGGGGGCACAGAUGAGUAUACCUUUUCA
This is a long non-coding RNA of Zea mays, 1472 nucleotides long. RefSeq lists it as uncharacterized. NCBI's taxonomy places the organism in Eukaryota, Viridiplantae, Streptophyta, Magnoliopsida, Poales, Poaceae. The record is from RefSeq and is a predicted model, not a curated record. The transcript is spliced from 6 exons.